Molecule: long non-coding RNA, 774 nt
Organism: Pleuronectes platessa (European plaice)
Lineage: Eukaryota; Metazoa; Chordata; Actinopteri; Pleuronectiformes; Pleuronectidae
Exons: 2
Source: RefSeq, a predicted model, not a curated record
GAGGGGGUGAGGUGGAGUGAGGGGGAAUGUGAGGGAGUGAGGGGGUGAGGUGGAGUUAGGGAGUGAAGUGAAAGGGAGUGAGGUGGAAUGUGAGGUGGAGUGAGGGGGCGUGGCUUGAGGGGGGCGGGGACAGACAGGAUAUUUUUUACAGUGUUAAUGAGGAUUUGUGAUUUAAUGUUUUUUGUUGUGUUGAUGAACUGAAGUUUGAAACUGAGAAACGAAUGGAUCUGUUCACCACUCGGCUGCAGAUGUUUCUGUUCUCUCCAGAUGUUUCUCUAGCUCAGAUGUUUUAAAAGAAUUCUUCUUGACCUUUGACCUUUCAUGCUCACUGGUAUCGUCUGUUUGCUGACACUGGGAACUUUGGUUUCAACACAAACUCUACGAUAUGAAAAUGAUGAACGAUAGCUUAGCUUUUGUAAGAUCCUUACGCUCGUUAAUGUUUGACCUAGAGAAAUAAUUAUGCUUUUUUUUUACCAGUUGAAAUGAUUUUUUUACACCAGUAUAUUUUUGAAUGGAGUCUGGUGAAAUGUGAAGAGUUUGAUCUGAAAGAAGAAAACACUGAUGGAGAAGAAGAGUGGUGAACAGCACAGUCUGACCUCUGACCCCUGACAGAGACAGAAUGUAAAUUCUAAAUAAACCUGAUCUUUGUUUUUAAUGGACAAACUGAGUCGUUCAGGUUUAGAUUCUCAUAGAAGCUGUUUUUAAUUAACUUUCAUUCUCAUCUUCUUUUGUAUCAUUUGCACUAAAAAAUAAACUUGAAUUGAAUAAAAAAUA